RNAcentral lists this ribosomal RNA (399 nucleotides) under uncultured bacterium. Its description in RNAcentral is "bacterial SSU rRNA". It matches the Rfam family "Bacterial small subunit ribosomal RNA", at positions 355 to 746 of the family's 1533-position model. The record is from RNAcentral.
UAGGGAAUAUUGGACAAUGGGCGCAAGCCUGAUCCAGCAACGCCGCGUGGAUGACGAAGCAUCUUGGUGUGUAAAAUCCUGUCAGUGGGGACGAAACGCAGAGAGAGGAAAUGUUCUUUGCCUGACUGUACCCGCAGAGGAAGUUCCGGCCAACUCCGUGCCAGCAGCCGCGGUAAUACGGGGGGAACGAGCGCUGUUCGGAUUUACUGGGCGUAAAGGGCACGCAGGUGGGAAAGCAAGUCAGAUGUGAAACCCCAAAGCUUAACUUUGGGACUGCAUUUGAUGCUGUUUUUCUUGAGUACGAGAGAGGAUGGCAGAAUUCUUGGUGUAGCGGUGAAAUGCGUAGAUAUCAAGAAGAAUACCGGUGGCGAAGGCGGCCAUCUGGCUCGAUACUGACGC